GACAGAGGGUGCAAACGUUGCUCGGAAUUACUGGGCGUAAAGCGCGUGUAGGUGGCUUGUUAAGUCGGGUGUGAAAUCCCUCGGCUCAACCGAGGAAGUGCAUUCGAUACUGGCAAGCUCGAGUACCGGAGAGGGUCGUGGAAUUCCUGGUGUAGAGGUGAAAUGCGCAGAUAUCAGGAGGAACACCAAUUGCGAAGGCAGCUCGCUGGGACGUUACUGACGCUGAGACGCGAAAGCGUGGGGAGCAAACAGG
RNAcentral lists this ribosomal RNA (253 nucleotides) under uncultured bacterium. Its description in RNAcentral is "partial 16S ribosomal RNA". It matches the Rfam family "Bacterial small subunit ribosomal RNA", at positions 524 to 776 of the family's 1533-position model. The record is from RNAcentral.